This is a long non-coding RNA of Lactuca sativa (garden lettuce), 773 nucleotides long. RefSeq lists it as uncharacterized. The record is from RefSeq and is a predicted model, not a curated record. NCBI's taxonomy places the organism in Eukaryota, Viridiplantae, Streptophyta, Magnoliopsida, Asterales, Asteraceae.
UUUGGAUGCUCCUCCUGGGCAGCGUUAUAAAAUGAAAGUCGUCCCUUUCAGUAAGAACAUAACUUUUGGUGUUGCAGGUAAUACAUGACACAGUUUUAUCUCUUCAACUAAUCAUAUUAUAUUUUUAUCCUCUCAUAUGAUUUAUGAUAUAUGAUAUAUAUGAUGAUUAUUUUCCCGAUGUUAAGGAACUGAUAUCUAUCCUGGCGGAUAGUCAAGCAGAAUGCUCAAUGAUGGGCGCAUAUAAUAUGCACACAUGUGACUCCGUUUGCCCCCAAGAGUGUGUGCAUUGCUAGCAUCACGUGCCUGUAGAUCUUUCGCUUUCGCUGCUUCUUUUUAAACGGGAUUAAAAAGAUAAUUGAGCGUUUGAUGGAUCUAAAAUCUCCAUGGAAUUACAUCAAAUCCAGGCUGGAAAGCUAUGAAUGCUUCUUCAGAAGUAGAUAAUACGGGAAAGGUCCAGAAUGGCUUUGAAGCUGCAUUAGAUUUGCAAAGAAGUCAAACGAUCGGUCAACGGCUGAUGGACAACAUCUUCUUGAGAAGUUUCACUUCAAAUCCCAAGAAUCCAGCUUCAUAUAACGUGGGACAAGCUACUUCAUCCUAGGUAUAGACGUAUAAUGUUUGUUGAUUCUAAUCUUUUUAAUUGUUAAACAGAUUUAAAAAAUUGAUCUUUUGAUUUUUGAUGAUGUAAAGUGUUUGGGUGAAUCGUAUUCACUGGUUGAAUCAUCCAAAUCUAGGUUGUAUCUUUGAAAUUAUUUACAAUUAGUUCACACCUCCAA